GACGAACGCUGGCGGCGUGCCUAAUACAUGCAAGUCGAGCGAGCGGAACUAACAGAUUUACUUCGGUAAUGACGUUAGGAAAGCGAGCGGCGGAUGGGUGAGUAACACGUGGGGAACCUGCCCCAUAGUCUGGGAUACCACUUGGAAACAGGUGCUAAUACCGGAUAAGAAAGCAGAUCGCAUGAUCAGCUUUUAAAAGGCGGCGUAAGCUGUCGCUAUGGGAUGGCCCCGCGGUGCAUUAGCUAGUUGGUAAGGUAAAGGCUUACCAAGGCGAUGAUGCAUAGCCGAGUUGAGAGACUGAUCGGCCACAUUGGGACUGAGACACGGCCCAAACUCCUACGGGAGGCAGCAGUAGGGAAUCUUCCACAAUGGACGCAAGUCUGAUGGAGCAACGCCGCGUGAGUGAAGAAGGUUUUCGGAUCGUAAAGCUCUGUUGUUGGUGAAGAAGGAUAGAGGUAGUAACUGGCCUUUAUUUGACGGUAAUCAACCAGAAAGUCACGGCUAACUACGUGCCAGCAGCCGCGGUAAUACGUAGGUGGCAAGCGUUGUCCGGAUUUAUUGGGCGUAAAGCGAGCGCAGGCGGAAGAAUAAGUCUGAUGUGAAAGCCCUCGGCUUAACCGAGGAACUGCAUCGGAAACUGUUUUUCUUGAGUGCAGAAGAGGAGAGUGGAACUCCAUGUGUAGCGGUGGAAUGCGUAGAUAUAUGGAAGAACACCAGUGGCGAAGGCGGCUCUCUGGUCUGCAACUGACGCUGAGGCUCGAAAGCAUGGGUAGCGAACAGGAUUAGAUACCCUGGUAGUCCAUGCCGUAAACGAUGAGUGCUAAGUGUUGGGAGGUUUCCGCCUCUCAGUGCUGCAGCUAACGCAUUAAGCACUCCGCCUGGGGAGUACGACCGCAAGGUUGAAACUCAAAGGAAUUGACGGGGGCCCGCACAAGCGGUGGAGCAUGUGGUUUAAUUCGAAGCAACGCGAAGAACCUUACCAGGUCUUGACAUCUAGUGCCAUUUGUAGAGAUACAAAGUUCCCUUCGGGGACGCUAAGACAGGUGGUGCAUGGCUGUCGUCAGCUCGUGUCGUGAGAUGUUGGGUUAAGUCCCGCAACGAGCGCAACCCUUGUUAUUAGUUGCCAGCAUUAAGUUGGGCACUCUAAUGAGACUGCCGGUGACAAACCGGAGGAAGGUGGGGAUGACGUCAAGUCAUCAUGCCCCUUAUGACCUGGGCUACACACGUGCUACAAUGGGCAGUACAACGAGAAGCGAGCCUGCGAAGGCAAGCGAAUCUCUGAAAGCUGUUCUCAGUUCGGACUGCAGUCUGCAACUCGACUGCACGAAGCUGGAAUCGCUAGUAAUCGCGGAUCAGCACGCCGCGGUGAAUACGUUCCCGGGCCUUGUACACACCGCCCGUCACACCAUGGGAGUCUGCAAUGCCCAAAGCCGGUGGCCUAACCUUCGGGAAGGAGCCGUCUAAGGCAGGGCAGAUGACUGGGGUGAAGUCGUAACAAGGUAGCCGUAGGAGAACUGC
This 1518-nucleotide ribosomal RNA is filed under the name Latilactobacillus curvatus. Its description in RNAcentral is "bacterial SSU rRNA". It matches the Rfam family "Bacterial small subunit ribosomal RNA". RNAcentral also lists the same sequence under 2 other names. Lineage: Bacteria; Bacillati; Bacillota; Bacilli; Lactobacillales; Lactobacillaceae. The record is from RNAcentral.